RNAcentral lists this ribosomal RNA (519 nucleotides) under Xantho sexdentatus. RNAcentral's name for it is "partial 16S ribosomal RNA". It matches the Rfam family "Archaeal large subunit ribosomal RNA", at positions 1917 to 2666 of the family's 2987-position model. The record is from RNAcentral. Lineage: Eukaryota; Metazoa; Arthropoda; Malacostraca; Decapoda; Xanthidae.
GUCCAUUUGAAGAUAUAAAUGGUCUGGCCUGCUCACUGAUAAGAGAAUUUAAGAGCCGCGGUAUAUUGACCGUGCAAAGGUAGCAUAAUCAUUAGGGGUUUAAUUGGAACCUAGAAUGAAGGGUUGGACAAAGGAAAGACUGUCUUUAUAUUGAAAGUUGAAUUUUACUUUUAAGUGAAAAGGCUUAAAUAUAUCAAAGGGACGAUAAGACCCUAUAAAGCUUUAUAGAUAACUUAAAUUUGGUUGAUUUAAAAAUAAAAACCGAGUUUAAUUAUUCUAUUUUGUUGGGGUGAUAUGAGUAUAAUUAUUAUUAACUGCUUAAGAAAAAUACUAAUAUAAGAGAAUUAUAUAGUGCAUGAUCCUUUUUAAAGAUUAAAAGGCUAAGUUACUUUAGGGAUAACAGCGUUAUUUCUUUUGAGAGUUCAUAUCGAAAAAGAAGAUUGCGACCUCGAUGUUGAAUUAAAAUAUCUAUAUAAUGCAGCCGUUAUAAAAGAGGGUCUGUUCGACCUUUAAAUUUUU